CAAAGUUGACAAAUUUAUUUCUACCAAUUUAUUAAUCAGCCCACUAUUUAAGUUUGGGAUUAAAAUGAGAAAGGGGGUAAAUAAUAAUAUUUGCCCAGUUAAAUUCCUAUCGGGUGAAAUAGCAAGAGGCCCAAUCAAAGUUUAUAAAUCUCCAAAUGAGAGUAAUUGUGGCAGCCCAAUAAUUAUCUAUGCAAAGUACAAAGAAGGUCCAAGGAAAAUAAACUCAUAGGCCCAAUUCUAUUUGAACAAUUUCAGCUUUUAAAUCCAAUUUGAGGCCCAAGUGGAUAAUGGAUUCAAAUCGGAGCAGCCCAAUUAUAUUUUAGAUGUAGAAGUGGGAAUAAAUUGUAAUGACCCAAAUGCAAGUACAAAAAGGAUCCAAGGAAAAUAAAUUCAUAGGCCAAACUUUUUAAAUCUCAUUAGAUGCCCAAGUUGCUUAUGGAGUGGACUAACCUGUCUCAGCCCAAAGGCACCAAGGAAGAGCACGUGAACCAGUCAAUUUGAAGAAAAAAUCCAGCUUCGUUAACGGUGAUUGUGUAGAUUGAUUGUGAUCAAAUUAAUUUGUCUCCAUCAAAUUAAUGUUUAGCAUCAAAUUAAUAUGUAUCAGCAUCUGCCCAAAUAGNUUUAUAAAUCUUCAUAUAAAUCUUCAAAUGGGAGUAAUUGUGGCAGCCCAAUAAUUAUCUAUGCAAAGUACAAAGAAGGUCCAAGGAAAAUAAACUCAUAGGCCCAAUUCUAUUUGAACAAUUUCAGCUUUUAAAUCCAAUUUGAGGCCCAAGUGGAUAAUGGAUUCAAAUCGGAGUAGCCCAAUUAUAUUUUAGAUGUAGAAGUGGGAAUAAAUUGUAAUGACCCAAAUGCAAGUACAAAAAGGAUCCAAGGAAAAUAAAUUCAUAGGCCAAACUUUUUAAAUCUCAUUAGAUGCCCAAGUUGCUUAUGGAGUGGACUAAUCUGUCUCAGCCCAAAGGCACCAAGGAAGAGCACGUGAACCAGUCAAUUUGAAGAAAAAAUCCAGCUGUAGAGAGAGGAUAAAUUGAUUGCAGAAAGACCACGACAAAUGCUACCAAUAUUCUGGCUUGGAAAUCACAUUACUUGUUUGUCUCCAUCAAAUUAAUGUAGAUACAAUGGGCAGAAGGCAGAACCUGGACCAUGGACCGAUGGUUACCUUCGUUAACAGUGAUUGUGUAGAUUGAUUGUGAUCAAAUUAAUUUAUCUCCAUCAAAUUAAUGUUUGGCGUCAAGUUUAUAUGUAUCAGCAUCCGCCCAAAUAGGCUGGGCGGCCCAUCCUUGUUCACCACCCUUGAUUUUCUCUGGUAGAGCAUAGUUAACGGUGAGUACACGGUCGUAAAGCUCCUCCCCAUCCAUAUUGUCCAUGGCGGCGGCGGCUGCGUCCUCUUUCUCUCUAGGAAAGUGGCGAACCUAAACGAGUGGUGCUUCUGUGUGGCCUGAUCCAGUGGUGUCUUCACAUCCUUAAUAUCCAAAGGGUAAGAAUGCUACAUGAAGGAUGGAUUUGUUCACUUCCUCCAAAGGGUGUUUUCUCAUCCUUAAUUUUCUCUUUGAUAGUAGCUUUGACGGCGGUGACCGAACACGGCUUUCCCUUUUUUCUCCUGUUUCUGCCUCAGAGGUUAUUUUAUAUACAUGAUUUGCGAUGGACCUAGAGCUUCCGAUCGUAACUGGAGGUAGAAGAAUGGCGGGGUUGUUUAAAAGAUAUUGUGGCUAGAGGUAGAGUUUAACUGCUACCGGGUUAAUCCGAGUGAUAGGAAGUCAUAUUUCUCUAUUUGAUUUGGGGCUAUUUCCUUAUUUCACCUCCAAUCUGAAAACCAAGCCGAAUAAUGAACCUUCUUGACCUUAUCAACUCUCUUUCCCAGAUCUACCUUUUUCCCCUUGUUCUUUAUGUGGAUCUACAUCGUGGAGUUAAAAGUAAUCCAUCCCCAUCCAUAUUUUCCAACGCCCGUCUCCAACUUUCUCAGAAUCUUAGAUAGACUUUUUCCAUGUGUUUCCUUCGUGGUUAACCGUAACUUGG
RNAcentral lists this long non-coding RNA (2013 nucleotides) under Olea europaea subsp. europaea. Lineage: Eukaryota; Viridiplantae; Streptophyta; Magnoliopsida; Lamiales; Oleaceae. The record is from RNAcentral.